CCCUUAGAUGUCCGGGGCCGCACGCGCGCUACACUGUUCGACGCAGCGAGUCUUAACCUUGACCGAAAGGUUUGGGUAAUCUUCAGCAAAGUCGAACGUGAUGGGGAUCGAUCAUUGCAAUUAUUGAUCGUGAACGAGGAAUUCCUAGUAAGUGCAAGUCAUCAGCUUGCGCUGAUUACGUCCCUGCCCUUUGUACACACCGCCCGUCGCUACUACCGAUUGAAUGGUUUAGUGAGAUCUCUGGAUUGACGCUGGCUAGGGGGCGACCCUUGGCCAGACUGCUCGAGAAACUGCUCAAACUUGAUCAUUUAGAGGAAGUAAAAGUCGUAACA
This 332-nucleotide ribosomal RNA is filed under the name uncultured eukaryote. RNAcentral's name for it is "partial 18S ribosomal RNA". It matches the Rfam family "Eukaryotic small subunit ribosomal RNA", at positions 1470 to 1796 of the family's 1831-position model. The record is from RNAcentral.